RNAcentral lists this ribosomal RNA (486 nucleotides) under uncultured Psychrobacter sp. RNAcentral's name for it is "bacterial SSU rRNA". It matches the Rfam family "Bacterial small subunit ribosomal RNA", at positions 30 to 505 of the family's 1533-position model. The record is from RNAcentral. Lineage: Bacteria; Pseudomonadati; Pseudomonadota; Gammaproteobacteria; Moraxellales; Moraxellaceae.
AUUGAACGCUGGCGGCAGGCUUAACACAUGCAAGUCGAGCGGAAACGAUGAUAGCUUGCUAUCAGGCGUCGAGCGGCGGACGGGUGAGUAAUACUUAGGAAUCUACCUAGUAGUGGGGGAUAGCUCGGGGAAACUCGAAUUAAUACCGCAUACGUCCUACGGGAGAAAGCAGGGGAUCAUUAGACCUUGCGCUAUUAGAUGAGCCUAAGUCGGAUUAGCUAGAUGGUGGGGUAAAGGCCUACCAUGGCGACGAUCUGUAGCUGGUCUGAGAGGAUGAUCAGCCACACCGGGACUGAGACACGGCCCGGACUCCUACGGGAGGCAGCAGUGGGGAAUAUUGGACAAUGGGGGGAACCCUGAUCCAGCCAUGCCGCGUGUGUGAAGAAGGCCUUUUGGUUGUAAAGCACUUUAAGCAGUGAAGAAGACUCUUCGGUUAAUACCCGGGGACGAUGACAUUAGCUGCAGAAUAAGCACCGGCUAACUCUG